RNAcentral lists this non-coding RNA (24 nucleotides) under Arabidopsis thaliana (thale cress). Lineage: Eukaryota; Viridiplantae; Streptophyta; Magnoliopsida; Brassicales; Brassicaceae. The record is from RNAcentral.
ACAUCCUGACAUGCAUCUGAGUGU